Molecule: non-coding RNA, 1340 nt
Organism: Chelonoidis abingdonii (Abingdon island giant tortoise)
Lineage: Eukaryota; Metazoa; Chordata; Testudines; Testudinidae
Source: RefSeq, a predicted model, not a curated record
GGCUGUCCCCAGCUCUGCCACUGGCCGGCUGGGUGACUCUGCACAAGACACUGCCCAUUCUGUGCCUCAGUUUCCCCCUUGCCCUUUGUUUAGAUUGUGAGCUCAUUGGGGCAGGGACUGUAUUUCAUUCUGGGUGUGGGCAGCCCCUGGCACAAUGAGGGCCCCCCAAUAUCUCAGCUGGGGUCUGGGUAGCCACUGGCACAAUGUGGGUCCCCUGAUCUCUCAGCUGGGGUCUGGGUAGCCCCUGGCACAAUGGGAGCACCCCAACAUCUCAGCUAGAGUCUGGGUACCCCUAACACAGUGGGAGCACCCUGGUAUCUCAGCCAGGAUCUGGGUAGCCCCCGGCACAAUGGGGGCCCCCCAAUAUCUCAACUGGGGUCUGGGUAGCACCUGGCACAGUGGGAGCACCCUGAUAGCUCAGCUGGGAUCUGGGUAGCCCCUGGCACAGUGGGAGCACCCCAAUAUCUCAGCCAGGAUCUGGGUAGCCCCUGGCACAAUGGGGACCCCUGAUAUCUCAGCUGGGGUCUGGGUAGUCCCUGGCACAGUGGGAGCACCCUGAUAUCUCAGCUGGGGUCUGGGUAGCCCCUGGCACAAUGGGAGCACCCUAGUAUCUCAGCUGGGGUCUGGAUAGCCCCUGGCACAGUGGGACCACCCCGAUAUCUCAGCCGGGAUCUGGGCAGCCUCCAGCACAAGGGGGCCCCAAUCCUGGUUAUGGUCUCUAAGGACAGUAGGAUCGGCCAGUAAUACACCAAUUUGCACCAGCUGAAGAUCUGGACGUGAAGUUACACCAGAAUCUUCCCCACCUGCGACCCCUCCAGGCCUGGCUGUCGAUUGCCCCUGAGUAAGAGCAGGCACCCUGGGCUGCUGGGUGCAGGGCUGGCCUGGAGCAUUUACCCUGGCACACGUACGUCCCCUUGGGCUGGUCCGCGCCAGAGCCCAGCCCUGACCUCAAACCCGCCUCCCUGGGCCCGAUACCGGGGGAUUCUCCGGCCUGUUCUCUGGAGGUGGAGGAGGGCGACCACGCUGCCCAAUGCCAGCUCAAACCUGGCAUUUCAUACCCCCCGCCCCAAACACCUGCAUCCCCAUCGCCCUGCGCCCUGCAGAGCAGUCCCCAGGCUCCCGGCAGGAGAAAGGGGGAGGGGCAGUUGGAGGGACCUGGCACGAAUUGUGGGAACUCAGGUUUGCCAUCGCGGCGAGGUCAUUCUCCCACCUCGUGCACUGUUCUCGCGAGGGGCGGGUCCCCCGUCUGAGGCCCGUCUCUCACCCCCUGCCACCGGCCUGUGAUCACUUACCGGGGUGGGGGCCUUGGAAAUGACAAUAAACAGGAUUUUAUUUAUGAA